RNAcentral lists this long non-coding RNA (288 nucleotides) under Elaeis guineensis (African oil palm). Its description in RNAcentral is "long non-coding RNA (EGUI_LNC036077)". Lineage: Eukaryota; Viridiplantae; Streptophyta; Magnoliopsida; Arecales; Arecaceae. The record is from RNAcentral.
ACCAACUUUAUAUAAAAGAUUGAGCCCAAAGCUCCACCAAAUGAAUAUCUUUCUUUAGCUAGAAAACUCUCAAUUCUUAUUUAUGAAGUGGAAUAAGGAUGACUUGCAUGAUGUUUUAUGUGUUGUGAUAUAUAAGUUGAAAGCCAUUUGUGAGGAAGUCUUUUUAUAGGCUCAUGGAGUCUUAAGUUAAUAUGGUCUACUAUUAGCCAAAAUAAUAAACUAGAGAGAGAAUGUGAUACCUUUUUAUAUUACAAAAAAUAAUAAUAAUUAGGCCUUUAACAUGUGGGA